Molecule: long non-coding RNA, 108 nt
Organism: Hibiscus syriacus
Lineage: Eukaryota; Viridiplantae; Streptophyta; Magnoliopsida; Malvales; Malvaceae
Exons: 2
Source: RefSeq, a predicted model, not a curated record
UCAUAUUUCAAUAUUGACUUUUUGCCAAUAUUAGAAUGGAAAUUAUAUGAAGGCAUGAAGGUGGAGAGUGGGACUACAAAGAUUUACAAACAUGAUGUUGAUGCCAUG